Molecule: ribosomal RNA, 439 nt
Filed under: uncultured bacterium
Lineage: Bacteria
Description: partial 16S ribosomal RNA
Rfam family: Bacterial small subunit ribosomal RNA
Source: RNAcentral
CCUACGGGGGGCAGCAGUGGGGAUAUUGCACAAUGGGGGGAACCCUUAUGCAGCGACGCCGCGUGGGUGAAGAAGCGCCCCGGCGCGUAAAGCCCUGUCAGCCGGGAAGAAAAAGACGGUUCCUGAAGAAGAAGCCCCCGCCAACUACGUGCCAGCACCCGCUGGCAUACGGAGGGGGCAAGCGUUAUCCGGAUUUACUGGGGGUAAAGGGGGCGCAGACGGCGAUGCAAGCCAGGAGUGAAAGCCCGGGGCCCAACCCCGGGACUGCUCUUGGAACUGCGGGGCUGGAGUGCAGGAGGGGCAGGCGGAAUUCCUGGUGUAGCGGUGAAAUGCGUAGAUAUCAGGAGGAACACCGGUGGCGAAGGCGGCCUGCUGGACUGCAACUGACGUUGAGGCCCGAAAGCGUGGGGAGCAAACAGGAUUAGAUACCCCAGUAGUC